This 221-nucleotide long non-coding RNA is filed under the name Elaeis guineensis (African oil palm). Its description in RNAcentral is "long non-coding RNA (EGUI_LNC033056)". Lineage: Eukaryota; Viridiplantae; Streptophyta; Magnoliopsida; Arecales; Arecaceae. The record is from RNAcentral.
AUAACCAUCUGUACUUUGAUAGCAUAUUGGUAAUAUAUCGAUGUGACAUAAUUGAGCUCGGUUACUUAUUGAAUUCGAUAUCAUACCUCUUUGGUAUUAAUAACCACAUUAGCUAAAGACCGAUAUAACUCAUCGAAGGUUGGUUAACAACCGAGAUGAGCAUCAUAAUUUAAGAACAAUCCUCGUUAGAUUGGUUCAACCAGAUAUCAGAUUGGAGAAGC